GAUGAACGCUGGCGGCGUGCCUAAUACAUGCAGGUCGAGCGAACAGACGAGGAGCUUGCUCCUCUGACGUUAGCGGCGGACGGGUGAGUAACACGUGGAUAACCUACCUAUAAGACUGGGAUAACUUCGGGAAACCGGAGCUAAUACCGGAUAAUAUAUUGAACCGCAUGGUUCAAUAGUGAAAGACGGUUUUGCUGUCACUUAUGGAUGGAUCCGCGCCGCAUUAGCUAGUUGGUAAGGUAACGGCUUACCAAGGCAACGAUGCGUAGCCGACCUGAGAGGGUGAUCGGCCACACUGGAACUGAGACACGGUCCAGACUCCUACGGGAGGCAGCAGUAGGGAAUCUUCCGCAAUGGGCGAAAGCUUGACGGAGCAACGCCGCGUGAGUGAUGAAGGUCUUCGGAUCGUAAAACUCUGUUAUUAGGGAAGAACAAAUGUGUAAGUAACUAUGCACGUCUUGACGGUACCUAAUCAGAAAGCCACGGCUAACUACGUG
This 497-nucleotide ribosomal RNA is filed under the name uncultured bacterium. RNAcentral describes it as "partial 16S ribosomal RNA". It matches the Rfam family "Bacterial small subunit ribosomal RNA", at positions 28 to 507 of the family's 1533-position model. The record is from RNAcentral.